GGGCUAAUGGUCUAGGGGUAUGAUUUUCGUUUUGCAUACACAGGGAUACCGAUGACCUCCGCACCGCAAGGUAGCAGGAUUAGGUCCCCAGUAGUUUCUCUACGAAAGGUCCGGGGUUCAAAUCCCCGUUGGUCCA
RNAcentral lists this transfer RNA (136 nucleotides) under Beauveria bassiana. RNAcentral describes it as "tRNA-Ala for anticodon UGC". It matches the Rfam family "tRNA". From Rfam's summary of the family: Transfer RNA (tRNA) molecules are approximately 80 nucleotides in length. Their secondary structure includes four short double-helical elements and three loops (D, anti-codon, and T loops). Lineage: Eukaryota; Fungi; Ascomycota; Sordariomycetes; Hypocreales; Cordycipitaceae. RNAcentral also lists the same sequence under 2 other names. The record is from Rfam by way of RNAcentral.